CCAGGAUGUACGGCGAUGGCACCCGUUUCAACUCCGCCCCUCUGAGCGUCUAGAGCGGUUCCCCCAUGCGGAGGAGGUCCUGGCUGUUCCGAAAUCUCGCCUGCCUGCGGGGAGCAAGCAUGGCCUGGGCAGCAGAUCUCAACCUGUGAUUGUGACAUCAUCGCCCCUACCUGAAAUGCCGGCUUCUUGGGCGGAAGUUUGAUUUUUCACAAAUCUGCAAGGGGCAAGGAGCCUCUCACAGCCUGCUCAUUGUUACGUAGUUAGGUUUACCCUCCCGCAGCUCAGCUCAGCGCACAUCUUUUCUUUCCUUAUCCCGUCCUUUCCCUCAUCCCUGCCUACCCCGCUUCUGACAUGCAUAGUGCAGCUUCUCCGUAAAGGUGGAGCUAAUGACCCGUGGGCCUAGCAGUUGUUAGGCCUUUUGGGAGCUCACGAUGGGAGCUCCCUGGUAAGUGAAACCGUCAAUUCACUGCCUAAAAUGACAAUACCCCAUCUCUGGUAUCUUUGCACUUGCCUCUUCAAAGCCACCUUUUCCUUUUUCUGUGUAUGGACUGUCACAAAUCCUCUGCACCCCAAGAACACCCCAUUGGAUUUCCGGGCUGGCUGCUUGGGCUACACACCUGGGUCAGGCCUCUCGCAGGGAUGCUCCUGCCACUGUAAUAAAGAGGAGAAAACGUCACAGGGGAAAGGCCUGACUCCUUCGUACAGUCAGGAAACUCAGCCUCACAGAGAAGGGACCCCUCUCUUAUUUUCGGAGUCCAAAAUAAGCCAUUUUGGGAGCCACAUCCACCACUUUUGUGACUCCCACACAGUUUUAAUGGCUGCUCUCAAA
This 829-nucleotide long non-coding RNA is filed under the name Homo sapiens (human). Its description in RNAcentral is "non-protein coding lnc-ZNF727-2:1". Lineage: Eukaryota; Metazoa; Chordata; Mammalia; Primates; Hominidae. The record is from RNAcentral.